Molecule: long non-coding RNA, 315 nt
Organism: Patella vulgata (common limpet)
Lineage: Eukaryota; Metazoa; Mollusca; Gastropoda; Patellidae
Exons: 3
Source: RefSeq, a predicted model, not a curated record
GAGACACAGUGCUUCAAGUGAGUAAGACGUUGACUCGCUAACCUGGAGGUUACGUGUUCGAUCCCUGCGUUGGCAGAGAAAGUUUCCCUUGCCAGUGGUGCUGGAGCCUCCUCCGAAGGCGGCUAACCAAAUUGGAAAGAUCCAGACAGUUGGAAAUAGAUAUUCUUGUGGAAACUUUUUCUCGCAGACCUUGAUAAUAAGGCAAAAUAAUCUUGGAAGAGUAUAAUGAUGUAUGAUAACAACGAGAGAACCCAACCACACCUUUUGAAUAUUACACCAUCAAUUUAAUUCUGGAAAAGAAUGCAUUUGAACCAA